RNAcentral lists this ribosomal RNA (263 nucleotides) under uncultured bacterium. RNAcentral's name for it is "partial 16S ribosomal RNA". It matches the Rfam family "Bacterial small subunit ribosomal RNA", at positions 29 to 319 of the family's 1533-position model. The record is from RNAcentral.
AACGAACGCUGGCGGCAGGCCUAACACAUGCAAGUCGAACGCCCUAGCAAUAGGGAGUGGCAGACGGGUGAGUAACACGUGGGAACGUGCCUUUCGGUUCGGAAUAACCCAGGGAAACUUGGACUAAUACCGGAUACGUGCGAGAGCAGAAAGAUUUAUCGCCGAAAGAUCGGCCCGCGUCCGAUUAGCUAGUUGGUGAGGUAACGGCUCACCAAGGCGACGAUCGGUAGCUGGCUGAGAGGAUGAUCAGCCACCACUGGGAC